Molecule: long non-coding RNA, 1131 nt
Organism: Cercocebus atys (sooty mangabey)
Lineage: Eukaryota; Metazoa; Chordata; Mammalia; Primates; Cercopithecidae
Exons: 4
Source: RefSeq, a predicted model, not a curated record
CUGUGUGGACGGCGGUGGGGUCCAUGUACCUCAGGCGGUGCUGCCCUGGAAAGCUCAGGACUGGCACAGACUGUCACCACGAGCUGAGACCCAGGUAUAGACUAGUUCCCAGGUGUGGUCAAAGUCAGCAUCCACCAGACUAGAGCGCCCUGGGGUGACGGCAAGUUCCCAAAGUCAAUGCCAAGCCCAUGUGCACUUUCUGCCUCUGGAGACAGAGUCUGAGAGGUGGGAGGGGGGCCUUGCCAGACCCCUGCCUGGGUCCCUGGCUAACUGUGAGGGUUUUGCUUUGGGGAGGGGCUGAGACUGACACACCUCUGAGCUGGGAGAAGGAGGUGGGAGUGAGAAAAGGGAAAGAGGGGGUCAGAAGGAGCCACAGAACGUCCCUGAUGCAGCCCUGUCCCGGGAUGCUGGCAGCGCAGGCACUGGGCUCUUGCAGGCUCCUGCGUCCCCAGGCCUGAGCCCUCGGGGCAGCAGCUGGCAGGGGUCAUCUUUGUGCAGGGCAGGGGGCACCUUCUUGCACACAGGAAUGUGUGUCACGGAGCCGCCUGGGGCCUCACAUUGAGGACGCACAGCCUCUACUGAGGGCAGAGGCCCAGCCCAUAGGCCUGCACCCCACAGCACCUCCACGCACCCCACAGGACCCGACGCACCCCACAGCACCUCGACGCACCCCACCUCCAGCCUGCUGGUCGCAGAGGAGGAGUGGAGGGGUCAGCUGGAAGCCUUCUAGUUUCCCUGGAGCGAGGGCCUGAAGGACCCAGGUCUCCAUCUCAGUAUGUUCUCUAUUGAAUUGCAACCUUGACAUGAAUAUUAAAAUAAUUUUUAAAAUAAACCUGGCUGUUGAAAUGAGGGAGCAAAAGCGCGCUGAACCAGCAGGCAGUGAGCACAGGCUGUACAGGAAGCAUGGCAGCAUCUGAUUCUAGGGCCAUCAGCAGUUCAGAGAGGUGACAUUACUUUCAGACUGGCCCAAAGCUGGUAAGUAGCAGAGACUGGCUGAGGGAAGAAGAGCCAGAUGUCUACCCUUGAUGCCAAGUCCUGCCCACACUGGCCUCACAUCCAACUCCCUGGGUCCUCAGGGAAUUCAGCCCCCAGAGGCCCCGCCCACCUGAUGCAGCCGAAGCAAGGGGCAGC